Molecule: ribosomal RNA, 139 nt
Filed under: uncultured eukaryote
Lineage: Eukaryota
Description: partial 18S ribosomal RNA
Rfam family: Eukaryotic small subunit ribosomal RNA
Source: RNAcentral
UCGUGGAGUGAUUCGUCUGGUUGAUUCCGAUAACGAACGAGACCUUAACCUGCUAAAUAGUCGCGCGAACGUUUCGUUCGUGGCCGACUUCUUAGAGGGACUGUUGACGUUUAGUCAACGGAAGUUUGAGGCAAUAACA